AGAACGGCUCCUAUAGGAGCCAUCUGGCAAUCAGAGGAAAUUAUUUU
Musca domestica (house fly) is the source of this 47-nucleotide non-coding RNA. NCBI's taxonomy places the organism in Eukaryota, Metazoa, Arthropoda, Insecta, Diptera, Muscidae. The record is from Rfam.